Molecule: long non-coding RNA, 667 nt
Organism: Nicotiana tabacum (common tobacco)
Lineage: Eukaryota; Viridiplantae; Streptophyta; Magnoliopsida; Solanales; Solanaceae
Source: RefSeq, a predicted model, not a curated record
CCCAAAGCAAAAUCACCAAAACCUAAACUACAUUCUGAUCUCUUCAGCCGCCAAUCCCACCCCCACAUCCCCUUCCCCACUUUCCCAAUUCUUUCUUCAACCAUGGUUACACUAAAAAAUGCGAGAACGACAGAGAAGAAGAGUGAGAGAGAACCCCAUAGCUUAUUUAUUCUUGAGCAGAAGAGUGAGUGAAAAUUUGAAGAUUUUGAAGUGGUAAUUUUGGGAGGAGCCAUAGUUCAUGGACUGUAACAACAAAGCAACAUUACAAAAUUGGGAUGAAGAUCCUUUAAGAAGUUUAAAAAGUCUACAGGCAGAUUCGUGAAGUUAGAGCAGCAAUGACAAGUUAAGACUAAAGCUAAGGUGCAGUAGUCGGUGCUACUUAGGGAAGAGAGAAAGGCGAAGACGAUGCUACUUUGUGUCUCAAGCAAGAUGGUGUUGUAGAAGACUUACGUAUCGUUCAUUUUUUGAAAUUUACAAUUAUGUGCAACUUGAAACCUAUUGUGGAAUGUAAUUUUUUUUAAUUCUUAGCUACAUUGUAACAAUUCUUAUAUGUAUCUAUUUUGGAAUCUAAAAUAUUUGAAUUUUAGCUGCAGGAUAAAAUUCUUGUGACCCAUUAUUUGUGGCAAAUUCUUCAAUUAUAGCAAUAAAAAUUUAGAAUUUGGGGCUA